Molecule: long non-coding RNA, 1599 nt
Filed under: Rattus norvegicus (Norway rat)
Lineage: Eukaryota; Metazoa; Chordata; Mammalia; Rodentia; Muridae
Description: long non-coding RNA NONRATT020146
Source: RNAcentral
GACGAUGACCUCAUGCUGCAGCAGCGGGUGGGGCCAGAGUCGUCGGGGGAGACUGUUGCAAAGGCAGAGAGGGAGAAGUGAUGACGGUGAUCGUUGUCGCCGCGGCUUCUAUGGAACCCAAGCAGUGCCGAAGGAAGUCUCAAGGCUCUUCCCCGACCAUUUGCUCCUUUUCCUGCGCGAGGUGAGGGCCCUGGCUCGGCCUCUGCGAGACUUUGGGGCGCUGGUGCGGCCGUGGAGGCGCAAUUUCUCCAGUGACUUUUGUAACUGCGUCAGGGCAAGAUGGCGCUGGGUCUCCUUGGGGCGCGGGGGGAGAGGCACGUCCACCGCCGCCGCAGCGCAUGUGACCGGCUGCAUUCCUGUGGGGUUUGGCCGGGACCCAGGCAGGGCGGGGGAGGGGACCGGGUUUGGGCGGAGGAGAUGGUGUUGCGGUCGGCGUUGGCUGCCCGAAGAGGAAGAGAUGACUGUUUGAAAGCGCUUCCCCUCCCCCCAGCAGCUGAACAGCUGCGCCGGGGGUGGGGGUGGGGGAGCCCCCGAAAGGACACUCCUUUCGGGGUGUGCCAGCCGCUAGUGGAGGAGAAGGUUUGACGCCCUAUUUUCUUAUCUGCCUUUCUCCUUGCAAAGUGUGCUUACAUAAGGUGGCAGUUCCCUUCUGUAAGCCAACUCGGAGGCCCUGAGUGUCACUGGUAUGAGUAACGAGGACAGGCUAGGCUCAGAAGGCACCAGGGCUAGCAGUGUUGACUAUUUCAGACAAAACACCAAGUUUUCGGGUCUGAAUAGAAGAAUACAGCAUACUCAGAGUUUGAAAGCAAGUGAACAACACCCAGGAACACUUGAGUUUCCUAGAACAGACAAGUGGUUAAGGACUAUCGUAAUCUGAAAGUAAGGGCCCUUUUAAACGUUCUUCUUACAUUCUUGUGUUCAUUACCCUCCCUGUCAGUACAUCCCGUGAGAGUUUAAUCUUAUUGGUGAGGGUUGUAUUUUCAAAUAUAAGUAUGCUCAGUAAUGGAGAAUACCAGCUACUGGUGUUUUCUGUAUGAAAGUGAAAGGUCAUUCUCAAUACUUCACAUUGCAUUUUGUCGUCCUUUUAAAAAUAAAAGAUAGAAUUACAAAUGCUUUCUUGUAAAUAUUCGUUGAAGCUCUCAAGCCUGCGUCUUUAAAGCACAUUUGUAAUAGCACAAAAUGUAUUUUUAGUGGGACUUAGGAAUGGGAAUGAGGGUUUGAAUGGGUUUUGCUACUUAAUAACCUAGGCUAGCUUGGAACUCAUACUCCUGCCUACCCUCCUAUUGCUAGGAUUACAGACUGCAUGGGUACUAUUUCCACCAAACACUGUAUUUGGUGCUGAGAGAAAAUGAAUGCCUGCUGGGCCUAGAACCUUCUUUAACCUGGGUCAUGGUUAUGUUAAUUUAUGUUUCUUUUUAGCGGUAGGCCCUUUGUAGUUGGAAAUCAAGAUUGGUUUGUAGCAUUCCUUGUAGAUUUUUUUUGUUGUUGUUAUACAAUGUGAAUGAGCUAAAAGAAACAGUAUUUUUAAUGUAGUUAUGUUUUAUAAUUAACAAAUUGAAAGCUUUUUGCUCCUUAUCUAUUAAAAUGGACAUUUUGUAU